Long non-coding RNA from Melozone crissalis (California towhee), 353 nucleotides. RefSeq lists it as uncharacterized. NCBI's taxonomy places the organism in Eukaryota, Metazoa, Chordata, Aves, Passeriformes, Passerellidae. The transcript has 3 exons. The record is from RefSeq and is a predicted model, not a curated record.
CCCCGGCCGGGCCGCGGGUGGCUGGCGGGGCGAGAGGGACAGCCCUACGGCUUCACUCCUAGGAGCGGCUGCCGUGAAUGGUAAUUGGAUCCUACAGUUAGGAGGACUCUAAGCUGUGAAUUUUAAGCAUGCUGUGUUAUCUGUGUUUUGGCCUGACUUAAGUUUCUAAGGAAUUGCAAUAAUGCUGCUGCAUUUCUGGGGUUUGGUGCUACAGGAAAUGUACACCUUUAUUUUACUCCUGCCAGAGACACCAGAUAAGAGGGUUCCAUUGGGAUACCAUUACUCUCCAUUAGACCAAUGUUUUUCAAUGGAGCACAGGAUCAUACAGGAGAGAAGUGAGCACUCAGAUUCUU